AUGUUUGGGUUAGUUGGGCACCUACAAUUUGAUCUAUUUGUAUUUGAUGAAGAAGGGUGCGAGGUUAGCUAUGAUUGGUCUACUACUCUACCAAUUCAUCAAGCGAAUGCUCCGAUUGGAUGGGAUGCAGAGUUGGCUAUGUCUAAUACUAAUGGCUAUAAGCAUGCAGUUACUAUUGCAUUUGUUAUAGUAAUUCAAAAUAGUUGCUAAUACUUUGUGUGCCUACCCAUAGCUGCGGCUUUAACUGCUUGUCCACCAAGCAAUUUUAGGGCUUCUAGGCAUGCAUUGCGCUGCAAUCUACUACUGUCGACUUCUGAUCUUGAGAGGCUGGAACUGCCUAUGCGAUUCCAGCUAUUUUGCGAAACUCAUGGCCAUAAAUACUUUAGAUUGGUGUCGAGAGGAAGAAGUUGGUUUGUGCGGUAUGUUGCUGGGCACUUUGUUGGUUAUGGUUGGAAAUUAUUCGUUGACGAACACAAGCUUGAGAGCUCUGACAUGUUGGUGCUGAGUCCUAAUAUCAACCUCCAAUUGCAUACCAUGGUUUUCAGUGUGAAUGAUUGCGAGCGUAUCUAUUGGUGGUACUAAUGCUAAUUUCCCCCUCUUUUGACUGCUGACUUGUAUUUAGAUUUGGACAGGCCAGUUCAGUGGAAUUCUAGGAUUAACUAUGUAGGAAAGAUGAGCCUAUAUGUUGUUCAUUUGUAAGUACAAGUUUCAACUAGAAAGGUCCAGUACUCUGGUUUACCUUCAUUUUGUAGAGUUCCUUAUAAUGACAAUGGCUCACAGCUUUUUGAAAAAGCCAUUUUUGUAUUGCCAAAUCUGAUUGUAAAGUGUGCCAAGAACACACUGACUUUGUAAAUGGCAAUGAAGUUGCAGCUUGUUGUGUUUAA
Molecule: long non-coding RNA, 884 nt
Organism: Rhododendron vialii
Lineage: Eukaryota; Viridiplantae; Streptophyta; Magnoliopsida; Ericales; Ericaceae
Exons: 2
Source: RefSeq, a predicted model, not a curated record